This 716-nucleotide long non-coding RNA is filed under the name Daphnia pulex (common water flea). RNAcentral's name for it is "uncharacterized LOC124198631, transcript variant X1". Lineage: Eukaryota; Metazoa; Arthropoda; Branchiopoda; Diplostraca; Daphniidae. The record is from RNAcentral.
CAGACGACCAUAGGCACGGUAGCGCUCAUGGUGGCAGAGGGCUACAACACACUGUCCUACAACAUACUGUCAAUAUAAACAAAGCAGUUCAAAAGUGUCAAUUCAGGUUUAUUGCAGGUUUAGUGCCGUUUCUCACAGUCACAGUAUGUCAGGAACCUAAACGUUCAGGUAACUUCUUGACCGUAAUUUUGGCAGAGGCAGAGGCCGAGUUACCCAGUCUGAUGAAGUUGUAGCAGUUUCUAAUCAAGAAACUGCUAGUGAAAUAACUCCCAGUCUAAUGAAAGAAGUGGUGUACAGGAUAUCAUUCAUUCAGUCGAACUGGAAAAGACAUCAUUGAAGCAAGCAUUUCACAAUUUAACAAGUAGAAAAAGGAAGCAAUCAAGAAAGCGAGUGGAAAACUCGCAUGAAAGACAAAGAAGAUGCUUGGGAUUCCAAGAGAGAUGCUGUCUUUCAAAACUACAUUAGCUCCCGUUCCUACAGUGCAAGUAAAUGUGGUGUAUGUGAAAAAGUCACUAAUCCUGUACAUCACUGUUGAAGUGUCCCUUCCUGUCCAGAAUGCAAAAGCCCUCAUUCGUGUACUACGAAACCUGGUUCAAGAGACGUAACCGUAGUUACAGCCAAUGGUAAAUGAGGGCAACUUCACGGAGGACAACCGAUUACCAGGAUUACAUCGACGAAGACACAGCCAAUUAUCAAGACUACGCUGAUGAAGAAAA